GCCUGGGUGGCGGAAUUGGUUUACGCGCACGACUCAAAAUCGUGUGGAGUUUUCUCCAUGAGGGUUCGAGUCCCUCCCCAGGCA
RNAcentral lists this transfer RNA (84 nucleotides) under Patescibacteria group bacterium. Its description in RNAcentral is "tRNA-Leu". It matches the Rfam family "tRNA". Rfam says of the family: Transfer RNA (tRNA) molecules are approximately 80 nucleotides in length. Their secondary structure includes four short double-helical elements and three loops (D, anti-codon, and T loops). The record is from RNAcentral.